UCGGCCGUCAUGGCGCUGCAG
This 21-nucleotide unclassified non-coding RNA is filed under the name Mus musculus (house mouse). Its description in RNAcentral is "oocyte_clustered_small_RNA10975". Lineage: Eukaryota; Metazoa; Chordata; Mammalia; Rodentia; Muridae. The record is from RNAcentral.